Long non-coding RNA from Triplophysa rosa, 1067 nucleotides. RefSeq lists it as uncharacterized. The record is from RefSeq and is a predicted model, not a curated record. NCBI's taxonomy places the organism in Eukaryota, Metazoa, Chordata, Actinopteri, Cypriniformes, Nemacheilidae. The transcript is spliced from 3 exons.
CCUGCAGACUGAUACACCCCACAGGUAAGCUUCAGACUGUUUUUAAUCAUAUAUUUUAUGUUUUUGUAUCAUUUAAGGUAUUCUAUGGUUAUAUAAUUUAUGGGAAUCUGGUUUACCAAUUAUUUAGGAUAGUUAAAAUGUAUAUACUCUACUUAAUAUUUAAAACAAAUAUUAUAUGAACAAUAUUAUCCUAGCAUCAAUCAUUAUUCUACUGGUUUAACUUCCAUAAACCAUUUUUCUAAAAUAAUUUCAUGCACAUUAUCUUGCUGUUUCUUCAACAGUAUGUUGUACAACUUGUAUUUAGGUUUAUUUAUUGAUAUUUCAGAGUUUCGUUAUGACCUUGUGCUGGGAGUGAACUUGGAAGAGACGGCUAUUUCUCGCGUUGCUAACCAAGUAUCAGUUCAACUCAGAAGUCUUGACAACUGUGUCAUACUUAAUGUUUUAAAGGUGAAUCAUAAGCCAAGCUCUAAACCACUGAUGGUCUGACUUUGACAGUUGAAGCUCCUGAAAACACCUGAGACUGAUAGAGACAGCUCUGGUUCGGCCUGAUGCUCAAUGAUGAUGACCACAGCCAUAGAUGGAAAGUGGUGGGAAUCUGCGAUGAUCAUGGCCUGCAAAUUUGAGCCCCAUGCCAGACCCUACUUUUGUUUGGCCAGAAACUCAAAAAAAAAAAAAGAAUGGAUGUAGUUAUCUGCCACUAAACACAGAAAACAUUAAAGAUUAAAUAAUUGUAUUGCCAGUCUGACUUCUUGGCUGCACUGCUUGCUGUAUAAUCUUGCUGACCAGUUAACUUUAAAUAGUAAUCAUGUAUUUUUAUAAUUUUCCUGGUUAUAUAUACAGUAUAUAUACACUUUUAUUUCGAUAAAUUUUUGUUUUCACAUUUCUACUGCUUUUGUGCUAAAAUGGACUAAAACUUAUUUCUUUACAUUUUCUUAUGUCUCUGUUUAGGGCUAAUCGUUUUUUUUUUCCGUAAAGCGGCUUUGCAACAAUGCAAAAUUGUGAAAGGUAUUAAUAUGUACAAAUAUAUUGAAUGUUGCGUUACAUUUAAUGGUGUGACUAGUAGGAAA